AGUUUUGAUCCUGGCUCAGGACGAACGCUGGCGGCGCGCCUCAUGCAUGCAAGUCGAGCGACGCACUCCUUAGCCGUAAGGGGCGGGUUUGACGGAGCGGCGAACGGGUGCGUAACACGUGACUAAUCUACCCCGAAGACCGGGAUAGCCCGGGGAAACCCGGAUUAAUACCGGAUGAUCUCACCGCAGCGCAUGUUGCGGUGAGCAAAGGUUCAGGCGCUUCGGGAUGAGGUCGCGGCCCAUCAGCUGGUUGGUGAGGUAACGGCUCACCAAGGCAACGACGGGUAGCUGGUCUGAGAGGACGAUCAGCCACACUGGAACUGAGAUACGGUCCAGACUCCUACGGGAGGCAGCAGCAGGGAAUCUUGCGCAAUGGGCGAAAGCCUGACGCAGCGACGCCGCGUGGGGGAUGAAGGCCUUAGGGUUGUAAACCCCUUUCACGAGGGAAGAAAAUGACGGUACCUCGAGAAGAAGCCCCGGCUAACUACGUGCCAGCAGCCGCGGUAAUACGUAGGGGGCGAGCGUUGUCCGGAUUUAUUGGGCGUAAAGGGCUCGUAGGCGGCUUGACAAGUCGGCCGUGAAAACCCAGGGCUCAACCCUGGGACGCCGGUCGAUACUGUCAUGGCUAGGGUCCGGUAGAGGGGAAUGGAAUUCCCGGUGUAGCGGUGAAAUGCGCAGAUAUCGGGAGGAACACCAUUAGCGAAGGCGGUUCCCUGGGCCGGCACCGACGCUGAGGAGCGAAAGCGUGGGGAGCAAACAGGAUUAGAUACCCUGGUAG
RNAcentral lists this ribosomal RNA (778 nucleotides) under uncultured bacterium. Its description in RNAcentral is "bacterial SSU rRNA". It matches the Rfam family "Bacterial small subunit ribosomal RNA", at positions 10 to 793 of the family's 1533-position model. The record is from RNAcentral.